This 254-nucleotide ribosomal RNA is filed under the name uncultured bacterium. RNAcentral's name for it is "partial 16S ribosomal RNA". It matches the Rfam family "Bacterial small subunit ribosomal RNA", at positions 524 to 776 of the family's 1533-position model. The record is from RNAcentral.
UACGUAGGGUGCAAGCGUUGUCCGGAAUUAUUGGGCGUAAAGAGCGUGUGAGCGGCCCCCAUUAGUCCGCUGUGAAAGUCCAGGGCUCAACCCUGGAAUGCCGGUGGAUACUGUGGGGCUAGAGUCCGGAAGGGGCGAGUGGAAUUCCUGGUGUAGCGGUGAAAUGCGCAGAUAUCAGGAGGAACACCGAUGGCGAAGGCAGGUCACUGGGCCGCAACUGACGCUGAGGAGCGAAAGCGUGGGGAGCGAACAGG